Molecule: ribosomal RNA, 941 nt
Filed under: uncultured bacterium
Lineage: Bacteria
Description: bacterial SSU rRNA
Rfam family: Bacterial small subunit ribosomal RNA
Source: RNAcentral
UUUGAUCAUGGWUCARAUUGAACGCUGGCGGCAUGCCUUACACAUGCAAGUCGAACGGCAGCACGGGAGCAAUCCUGGUGGCGAGUGGCGAACGGGUGAGUAAUAUAUCGGAACGUGCCCAGUCGUGGGGGAUAACGUAACGAAAGCUACGCUAAUACCGCAUACGAUCUAUGGAUGAAAGCGGGGGAUCGCAAGACCUCGCGCGAUUAGAGCGGCCGAUAUCAGAUUAGGUAGUUGGUGGGGUAAAAGCCUACCAAGCCUUCGAUCUGUAGCUGGUCUGAGAGGACGACCAGCCACACUGGAACUGAGACACGGUCCAGACUCCUACGGGAGGCAGCAGUGGGGAAUUUUGGACAAUGGGCGCAAGCCUGAUCCAGCAAUGCCGCGUGCAGGAUGAAGGCCUUCGGGUUGUAAACUGCUUUUGUACGGAACGAAACGGUCCUCUUUAAUACAGGGGGCUAAUGACGGUACCGUAAGAAUAAGCACCGGCUAACUACGUGCCAGCAGCCGCGGUAAUACGUAGGGUGCGAGCGUUAAUCGGAAUUACUGGGCGUAAAGCGUGCGCAGGCGGUUAUGUAAGACAGAUGUGAAAUCCCCGGGCUCAACCUGGGACCUGCAUUUGUGACUGCAUAGCUAGAGUACGGUAGAGGGGGAUGGAAUUCCGCGUGUAGCAGUGAAAUGCGUAGAUAUGCGGAGGAACACCGAUGGCGAAGGCAAUCCCCUGGACCUGUACUGACGCUCAUGCACGAAAGCGUGGGGAGCAAACAGGAUUAGAUACCCUGGUAGUCCACGCCCUAAACGAUGUCAACUGGUUGUUGGGUCUUCACUGACUCAGUAACGAAGCUAACGCGUGAAGUUGACCGCCUGGGGAGUACGGCCGCAAGGUUGAACUCAAAGGAAUUGACGGGGACCCGCACAUGCGGUGGGGCAUGUGGUUUAAU